This 24-nucleotide non-coding RNA is filed under the name Arabidopsis thaliana (thale cress). The record is from RNAcentral. Lineage: Eukaryota; Viridiplantae; Streptophyta; Magnoliopsida; Brassicales; Brassicaceae.
GAAUCAAGACUUUCCGCUUCCACC